Molecule: long non-coding RNA, 652 nt
Organism: Pseudophryne corroboree (corroboree frog)
Lineage: Eukaryota; Metazoa; Chordata; Amphibia; Anura; Myobatrachidae
Exons: 3
Source: RefSeq, a predicted model, not a curated record
UGGAACCAAGAGCAUGAAACCCCUGGCAACGAGCAUGACACCCAGUGCAUGAAACCCCUGACAACGAGCAGCAUCUUACACACAAUGUGCUACUGUAUGGCUGAAGUGGACAUACAUAUAUUUACAGGAUGUGGACAAGGCCAUUUUGCUCGGAUUCCAUUUCAUCUUUUACUGACUUCGUUUGAUACUCACAAUCAAGCUGAGGGGAGUGUGGUUCACGUCUUGGAGGUGUGUCCAAAAUUUGGAGUGUGGGGCCCGAACAUACUGUCGAUAAUCUUCGUGGCGGGGUAGCCUGCUGUGGUUGGCCCUGGACAUCAGACCUUGCUUUCUUUGCUGCCCCAUUUUUUUUUGCCUGUUGUGUUACUGAAGUCCAACUUCUGCUGCUCCAGACUUCUUUUGAUGGACCUAGUAUUGAAAGUGAAAUGUUGUUAUGGCCAUUCCUUUACAAACAUACCCUAUACUACAAUGGACACUUUACCGGCUUCCGCCCCGUCAACAUUAUCAAAUGUAAUGGGAGUUACUGUCGGACAACCAGUACUGCUUUUUUCCAACACUGUAAAACCAAAAUAAGAAAUCAUGUAAUCAUGCUAUUGUGGAUACAUCCACCCAUUAUGCUUAUACACAUUAAUUAAAUAAAAAGAGCGUGUUUUGC